RNAcentral lists this ribosomal RNA (421 nucleotides) under uncultured bacterium. RNAcentral describes it as "bacterial SSU rRNA". It matches the Rfam family "Bacterial small subunit ribosomal RNA", at positions 917 to 1341 of the family's 1533-position model. The record is from RNAcentral.
GGGUCCGCACAAGCGGUGGAGCAUGUGGUUUAAUUCGAUAAUACGCGAGGAACCUUACCUAGGCUAGAAUGCGAGUGACAUCCAGAGAGAUCUGGAGUUCUUCGGACACAAAGCAAGGUGCUGCAUGGUUGUCGUCAGCUCGUGCCGUGAGGUGUUGGGUUAAGUCCCGCAACGAGCGCAACCCCUGUUUUUAGUUGCCAGCAAGUAAUGUUGGGGACUCUAGAAAGACUGCCUGCGUAAGCAGAGAGGAAGGAGGGGACGACGUCAAAUCAGCAUGGCCCUUAUGCCUAGGGCUACACACGUGCUACAAUGGCGUAUACAAAGGGUAGCGAACCAGUGAUGGUAAGCCAAUCUCUAAAAAGGUGCCUCAGUUCGGAUUGGAGUCUGCAACUCGACUCCAUGAAGUUGGAAUCGCUAGUAA